This 359-nucleotide long non-coding RNA is filed under the name Homo sapiens (human). RNAcentral's name for it is "HSALNT0206922". The record is from RNAcentral. Lineage: Eukaryota; Metazoa; Chordata; Mammalia; Primates; Hominidae.
AUAGGGAGAUGUGUGCACACACACACCUGCUCCGAGAAAACUAACCGCUGCUUCAGGAGAGAAGCCGGGCAACAGUGAACGUGGUCGGGCAGGAGGCCUGCUUUCCAGACUUAGUACCUUUGAAUUUUUCUACCGUGUGGUUCUCUGUCUUGUCUGCAGUUUUCAAACUUUCUGAAAUUAAACCCAUCAUGUCUAUAAUCAAAUUAAAACCUCACUUAAAUUGUUAGGGAAGAGGCGGCAUGCAUACGACACUGCCUCAUGAAUGAGACAGAGGAGAAAGGUUUAUGUGUAUUGGCCUAUCGUGUGUAACGGAACACAGGAAGAUGAAUCCAAAACAGAGAACACAACUGUGGCUGCUG